RNAcentral lists this ribosomal RNA (572 nucleotides) under Monosporozyma servazzii. RNAcentral's name for it is "Kazachstania servazzii partial 26S ribosomal RNA". Lineage: Eukaryota; Fungi; Ascomycota; Saccharomycetes; Saccharomycetales; Saccharomycetaceae. The record is from RNAcentral.
GCGGCAUAUAACCAUUAUGCCAACAUCCUUGACAAAAGUCGCAGUCCUCAGUCCCGGCUGGCCGUAUUCCCGCAGGCUAUAACACUUACCGAGGUAAGCUACAUUCCUACGGAUUUGUCCGACCACCAAAACUGAUGUUGGCCCAGUGAGCUGCGAGAGUCCCCCACCCACAAGGAGCAGAGGGCGCAAAACACCAUGUCUGAUCAAAUGCCCUUCCCUUUCAACAAUUUCACGUACUUUUUCACUCUCUUUUCAAAGUUCUUUUCAUCUUUCCAUCACUGUACUUGUUCGCUAUCGGUCUCUCGCCAAUAUUUAGCUUUAGAUGGAAUUUACCACCCACUUAGAGCUGCAUUCCCAAACAACUCGACUCUUCGAAGGCACUUUACAUAGAACCGCACUCCUCGCCACACGGGAUUCUCACCCUCUAUGACGUCCUGUUCCAAGGAACAUAGACAAGGAACGGCCCCAAAGUAUCCCUCUACAAAUUACAACUCGAGCACCGAAGGUACUAGAUUUCAAAUUUGAGCUUUUGCCGCUUCACUCGCCGUUACUAAGGCAAUCCCGGUUGGUUU